Molecule: ribosomal RNA, 489 nt
Filed under: uncultured Glomeromycotina
Lineage: Eukaryota; Fungi; Glomeromycota
Description: SSU rRNA
Rfam family: Eukaryotic small subunit ribosomal RNA
Source: RNAcentral
AGCAGCCGCGGUAAUUCCAGCUCCAAUAGCGUAUAUUAAAGUUGUUGCAGUUAAAAAGCUCGUAGUUGAAUUUCGGGAUCAAUAUGUUGGUCGUGCCUUGGUACGUACUGGCAUUAUUGGUUUCUACCUUCUGAAGAACCUCGAUGUCAUUAAUUUGGUGUCUUGGGGAAUCAGGACUGUUACUUUGAAAAAAUUAGAGUGUUUAAAGCAGGCUCGCGCUUGAAUACAUUAGCAUGGAAUAAUGAAAUAGGACGUUUGAUUCUAUUUUGUUGGUUUCUAGGAUCGACGUAAUGAUUAAUAGGGAUAGUUGGGGGCAUUAGUAUUCAAUUGUCAGAGGUGAAAUUCUUGGAUUUAUUGAAGACUAACUACUGCGAAAGCAUUUGCCAAGGAUGUUUUCAUUAAUCAAGAACGAAAGUUAGGGGAUCGAAGACGAUCAGAUACCGUCGUAGUCUUAACCAUAAACUAUGCCGACUAGGGAUCGGAUGAUGU